ACUCUAAAAAGAUAGCCAAAGUCACAGCAGUGUUCACGCGGUUUCAUUGUAAAGACGUGCCAAAAUACUUAAGAGGCACUAUUUUUCUACCUAGGUCACCCAUCUUUGAGAAUACCGACAGCCCGCCCUCACUUCGACGCUCCCCAUCCAUUAUUAAAAAAAAAUAAAUAAAUAAAUUUAAACAUGUCUGCUGUGCCUUUCAUGCAAACCUAUAAACAGUCACAUCUUCCCCGCAGCGACGCCCAGGUCUGAGUCCCACAAGCAGCGAGACUGCAGACUGCGGCGCUGGCUGGGGCCACUCCUCCCGCGACACUCCGAAACUGCUCCCCUUUCCCUUGGGAUUUCUAAGGGUUCGGACCAGCUAAGACCCCUCCCUUUAAGUCCAGCCCGGGGAAGGGGAGGCGGAGAGAGCCUUGCGGAAGCAGUGCCACAGGAAAACCCCGUGUCCCCUGCCCAGCUGGCAGGAGUGGCCCUGGCGGCGCGCGCCCAGCCGCUCCCAGGUGGGUCUCUGCAGCCGGGGACAGCGCCCUGCUCCCGGGAGAGGGAGGCAGGGAGGGAGGAGGACGCAGGCCAGGCUUCGUUCGUCACGAUUCACGAGGGAGGGUGGGAAAGAGGGAGGGAUUGGAGACAGAAAGAAAGGGGGGGGGGAGCGGAAUUGAGAGCUCUGGAUAUGCAGAAGGCAAGGAAAGGAGACGGUACAAAAACACACCCGAGGCGCUUGCUGUUGUACCAUUUAUCUAUCAGUCACUAAUGAAUAUUAUUCUCCCAUAACUAUGUAUAAGCUAUGUAUAUGAAUUACUAUGGAUAUUCUGUAUACUGGAGCUGCACUCGUGCACAAGACAUGGAACAAAUCCAGUAGUUUCCAAAGUCCAAAUCUAAUUAGGAAAUACUACAGAAUCAACUCUGGACUCAGCAUCUCCUUCCUCCUGUCUACAUGGUCACAUACUGGUUUUCGAGGUUCCAUCUUUGCUAAUGAAGAAGGUUGCUUUGGAAAUACAGAACAAGAGUAGGAGACGUACCUCAGAGGUGGAGCACUUGCUUGUUAUAUGCAAGGUCUCCACUUUGAUCCCUGAUGGUGGAAAAUAAAAUAAAGUGCAAAGAAAAAAUGAACAAGUCCAACUAACUUAAAAAUCACAAAGGAUGGGGCUGGAGAGAUGGCUCAGUGGUUAAGAGCACUGGCUGUUCUUCCAGAGGUCCUCAGUUAAAGUCUUAGCAUUCACAUGACAGCUCACAAUUGUCUGUGACUGUAUCUAGUAGGACCAAAUGCCCUCUUCUGAUGUGCAUACAUGCCAACAGAAUACCCACAUACAUAAAAUACAUGCAUGAAUAAAUCUUUUUUAAAAACAUUUUUAAAAGGAAAAAUCACAAAGGAGCCAGGUGUGGUAACACAUACCUUUAGUCCUAGCACUCAGGAGACAGAAAGCUAGGGGGUCCCUGAGUUUGAGACCAGUCUGGUCUACAGAGCAAGUUUCAGAAAAGCCUGGUCUAUAGAACAAGUUGAGGGACAGCCAGGGCUACACAGAAAAUCGCUAUCUUUACAAACAAACAAGAAAGAACCACAAAGGAGGGCAUAGCAGCACAGACCUUUAAUCCCAGCACUUGGGAGGUAGAGGCAGGACAAACUCUGUGAGUUCUUGGCCAGCCUGGUCUACAUAGUGAGUUUCAGGCAAGCCAGAGCUACAUAUACCCAGUUUAAAAAAACAAAACAAAACAAAACAAAACGACAACAACAAACUCCCAAAGGCAGAGCUAUUGAGAGGGCUCAGUGGGUAAAGGCACUUGUCGUCUGGCCUUAUAUCCUAAGUUUGACCCCCUGGAAUCCAGUUAGUGCAUGGAGCAAGCAGACUCCCACACGUUCUCUGACCUCCACACACGCACAGUGGCGCUUGGUAUCAGACAUUAGGUAAAUAUAAUAAAACUUUUACAGCAGUUCUCUGGAACCAACUCCCUAAAAUUGUCUGACUUCCACAUGAGUGCCACAGAGUGUGUACAUACAUCAUACUUACGUAUACAUAUAAUAAAAAUUUUUUUAAUCAUAAAGGACUGCUAGACACGGUGGCAAACAUCCCAGUGUUUGAGAGGGUAAGGCAAGAGACUUUCUGUGAACUUCUGCCAGCCUGGGCUACAUGGUAAUCUCCUGUCUCAAAAACCUGAAACAAAUAGGCUACAAAGUAUGGCUAUGAAGUCCAUGAGUACCCCACACGUGUGGACAGCCCUGUGAUCUGGGACCCUUUCCGCAUAUCAUUCAGAAAUCAAGUGAUUUUUUUUUUUUAUAGACGAGGACCCUGGGAUUCAGAGAGGCUGUAUUGAGUAGUGGCCAAGUAGUAAUUCAAGUACUUUUUAAAACAAAUGCAUUUAUUUAUUUAUUUAUUUAUUUAAUCUAUCGAUCUAUUUACUUAGACAGGACUUACUAUGUGGCCCCGUUUGGUUUAGAAUGUGCAGAAAUCUACCUGCUUCUGCCUCCUGGUGCUGGGGUUAAAGGUGUUUGCCAUUCCUGGCUUUAGUCAUAGUUUAUGAUAAUUUGCUUUUGCUUUUUUUUUUUUUUUUGGUUUUUCAAGACAGGGUUUCUCUGUGUAGCCCUGGCUGUCCUGGAACUCACUCUGUAGACCAGGCUGGCCUCGAACUCAGAAAUCCGUCUACCUCUGCCUCCCGAGUGCUGGGCUUGAAGGCUUAGCCACCACUGCUCCCCACUCCCCAAGCAUGUAACAGGGGCCCAUGUAGCUCAGACUGGCCUUAAACUUGAUAUGUAGCUCAGGAUGACCUUCAAUCCCUCAUUCUCUCGUCACCUCUCACAAGCUGGAAACCUAGGCAUGCACCACCAUGUCUGAUUUAUGUUGUGCCAUCAGUCUACCAGCUAAGCUCAGCCUUAGUCCCUAGAAAUACAACUCUGUUAUAAUUUGAAUUCUGAGCUACUGUCUUAUACAGUACAACAAGAAAAGAAGCGAAAGCCUAAGGAAGAAUUUUCCAAGGUCGUGAAGUGAGUCAUGGUGGAACGUCAAACACUGUAUGUCCUAGUUCAAGACACCGGCACCAAGAUGAGAAGAUUUGACAACAUUCUGUCAUGAAAAAUAAAUGUUGGCAGGAUCUGGGAUUGAUGAGGCAAGGCUCCAGGCACGUCUGUGAAGGGUUCUGGUGACUCUGUUAGCCUCUGGGCAUACCCGUGGGAGGCUAUUGUGAUUAGGCUAAUUGAGGUGGGAAGACCUGCCCACAAUGGUUGGUAUCAUUCCCUAGGCUGUGAGCUGUGCCAUAAUAGGCAUUGCUUUCUGCUUCCUGACUGUGGACACGGUGUGACCAGCCACCUCAAGCUCCUACCUUCCUUCCUACCUUGCCAUAAUGGACUUGCCCUUGAACUGUAAACCAAAAAUAAAUGUUUUCUUCCUUAAA
Molecule: long non-coding RNA, 3384 nt
Organism: Mus musculus (house mouse)
Lineage: Eukaryota; Metazoa; Chordata; Mammalia; Rodentia; Muridae
Product: predicted gene 13524
Exons: 2
Source: RefSeq, marked validated